RNAcentral lists this ribosomal RNA (711 nucleotides) under Exiguobacterium indicum. RNAcentral describes it as "bacterial SSU rRNA". It matches the Rfam family "Bacterial small subunit ribosomal RNA", at positions 68 to 763 of the family's 1533-position model. Lineage: Bacteria; Bacillati; Bacillota; Bacilli; Caryophanales. The record is from RNAcentral.
GGAACUCUUCGGAGGGAAGGCAGUGGAAUGAGCGGCGGACGGGUGAGUAACACGUAAGGAACCUGCCUCAAGGAUUGGGAUAACUCCGAGAAAUCGGAGCUAAUACCGGAUAGUUCAACGGACCGCAUGGUCCGCUGAUGAAAGGCGCUUCGGCGUCACCUUGAGAUGGCCUUGCGGUGCAUUAGCUAGUUGGUGGGGUAACGGCCCACCAAGGCGACGAUGCAUAGCCGACCUGAGAGGGUGAUCGGCCACACUGGGACUGAGACACGGCCCAGACUCCUACGGGAGGCAGCAGUAGGGAAUCUUCCACAAUGGACGAAAGUCUGAUGGAGCAACGCCGCGUGAGUGAUGAAGGUUUUCGGAUCGUAAAACUCUGUUGUAAGGGAAGAACACGUACGAGAGGGAAUGCUCGUACCUUGACGGUACCUUACGAGAAAGCCACGGCUAACUACGUGCCAGCAGCCGCGGUAAUACGUAGGUGGCAAGCGUUGUCCGGAAUUAUUGGGCGUAAAGCGCGCGCAGGCGGCCUUUUAAGUCUGAUGUGAAAGCCCCCGGCUCAACCGGGGAGGGCCAUUGGAAACUGGAAGGCUUGAGUACAGAAGAGAAGAGUGGAAUUCCACGUGUAGCGGUGAAAUGCGUAGAGAUGUGGAGGAACACCAGUGGCGAAGGCGACUCUUUGGUCUGUAACUGACGCUGAGGCGCGAAAGCGUG